Molecule: long non-coding RNA, 681 nt
Organism: Oenanthe melanoleuca
Lineage: Eukaryota; Metazoa; Chordata; Aves; Passeriformes; Muscicapidae
Exons: 4
Source: RefSeq, a predicted model, not a curated record
GAAAUAAAGAAGAACAGAAAUAUAGAAGACGGAAGAGACAGAGCCCGACCCGCGCACCACGAACUCCGAGGAGCAAAUGGCUCCGCCGGGCUCGCGCCGCCGUUUAAAUCCCCCUCAGCCCCGCCCCGCGCAUGCGCUCUGGGGCCCCGCGCACCUGUGCAGGCCCCGCCCCGCGCACCUGUGCAGGCCCCGCCCCCGGCCCCGCCCCCGCCCGCGCCCUUUAAAAGCGGCCGAGCCGCUCCCGGCCCGCUCCAUUCGGGAACGCUCGUGCUGGGAUGCGGCGGGAUCCUCGUCCGAGCGCUGUGCCGAGCGCGACCCAGGGACCGGCCCCGGUGCUGCCCGAAUCCCGAGGCGCUCAGAUCACAGGAUAUAGUGGGGUCGAGAGAAAUCCUGAAAUCUGACUCUCAGGCACGCAGCAUGUGGCAGAAUUGAACUCACAUCCCGGCCAGUACCUGGACUCUGCUCCGACUGACUGAGACAAUCUCUGGGUCACAGAGAGAAGUAAGCAGGACAGGUUCUGAGGCUUCCCUUGCUGCAUGACCAGAGCUCUUCUGGAGAGUGGCAGGGGGCAUUUCCUGCAGCUGCAGGGAAUGGGGCAGGAGGAGGCCAGGAGCCCCUGGAAGGUACCAGCCCCUCCUGUCCCUGGGCUCUCAGGGAGGCCUGUGCCUGCAGUGUCCUGCC